Molecule: non-coding RNA, 397 nt
Organism: Robiginitalea biformata HTCC2501
Lineage: Bacteria; Pseudomonadati; Bacteroidota; Flavobacteriia; Flavobacteriales; Flavobacteriaceae
Rfam family: transfer-messenger RNA
About the family: Bacterial tmRNA, also known as 10Sa RNA or SsrA, is named for its dual tRNA and mRNA-like properties. Its role is to liberate the mRNA from a stalled ribosome. To accomplish this part of the tmRNA is used as a reading frame that ends in a translation stop signal.
Source: Rfam
GGGGCCGACUGGUUUUGACAGCAAGACCAAUGGCGAUGUAAGCAUGCCGAGCGCUGGGAUACAGCUCGUAAAUCUCAUAUUUCACACUUUUAAUUGGCGAUAAUAAUUACGCUCUCGCCGCAUAAUCUGAAUUAGAGUAAGAUCAUGCCUCGUCUCCGCAAGGCGGAGAAGCGAGAUGUCCCUGGAUAGCCCUUGUUGGCGGCGAUCCAUUUAGGGGCACCAGAAAAGUCAACAUAGUGUGGUUAUCGCUUCGCUAACCGCAUAAACCUUAAGAAGCUAAGCGCGUAAUGGGCCGUUUCCGGUCAGUUGCGCGUCGACAAUCAAUCGGAAACUAAGCAUGUAGAAAGCAUGGUUAUUGCUUGUUUGGACGGGAGUUCGAAUCUCCCCGGCUCCACAA